RNAcentral lists this ribosomal RNA (754 nucleotides) under uncultured Glomeromycotina. RNAcentral's name for it is "SSU rRNA". It matches the Rfam family "Eukaryotic small subunit ribosomal RNA", at positions 338 to 1092 of the family's 1831-position model. Lineage: Eukaryota; Fungi; Glomeromycota. The record is from RNAcentral.
GGCCUACCAUGGUUUUAACGGGUAACGGAGAAUUAGGGUUCGAUUCCGGAGAGGGAGCCUGAGAAACGGCUACCACAUCUAAGGAAGGCAGCAGGCGCGUAAAUUACCCAAUCCUGAUUCAGGGAGGUAGUGACAAGAAAUAACAACCUGGGGGACUUUGUCCUUACGGGAUUGCAAUGAGAACAAUUUAAAUGACUUAUCGAGGAACAAUUGGAGGGCAAGUCUGGUGCCAGCAGCCGCGGUAAUUCCAGCUCCAAUAGCGUAUAUUAAAGUUGUUGCAGUUAAAAAGCUCGUAGUUGAAUUUCGGGAUCAAUGUUUCGGUCAUGCCGUUGGUAUGUACUGAUAUUAUUGAUUUCUCACCUUCUAAAGAACCGUAAUGCCAUUAAUUUGGUGUCACGGGGAAUUAGGACUGUUACCUUGAAAAAAUUAGAGUGUUUAAAGCAGGCUCACGCUUGAAUACAUUAGCAUGGAAUAAUGAAAUAGGACAUCCGAUUCUAUUUUGUUGGUUUCUAGGAUCGAUGUAAUGAUUAAUAGGGAUAGUUGGGGGCAUUAGUAUUCAAUUGUCAGAGGUGAAAUUCUUGGAUUUAUUGAAGACUAACUACUGCGAAAGCAUUUGCCAAGGAUGUUUUCAUUAAUCAAGAACGAAAGUUAGGGGAUCGAAGACGAUCAGAUACCGUCGUAGUCUUAACCAUAAACUAUGCCGACUAGGGAUCGGAUGAUGUUAAUUUUUUAAUGACUCAUUCGGCGCCUUACG